Molecule: ribosomal RNA, 447 nt
Filed under: uncultured bacterium
Lineage: Bacteria
Description: bacterial SSU rRNA
Rfam family: Bacterial small subunit ribosomal RNA
Source: RNAcentral
ACCAGACUCCUACGGGAGGCAGCAGUGGGGGAUAUUGCACAAUGGGGGGAACCCUGAUGCAGCGACGCCGCGUGGGUGAAGAAGCGCCUCGGCGCGUAAAGCCCUGUCAGCAGGGAAGAAAAUGACGGUACCUGAAGAAGAAGCCCCGGCUAACUACGUGCCAGCAGCCGCGGUAAUACGUAGGGGGCAAGCGUUAUCCGGAUUUACUGGGUGUAAAGGGGGCGCAGACGGCGAUGCAGGCCAGGAGUGAAAGCCCGGGGCCCAACCCCGGGACUGCUCUUGGAACUGCGUGGCUGGAGUGCAGGAGGGGCAGGCGGAAUUCCUGGUGUAGCGGUGAAAUGCGUAGAUAUCAGGAGGAACACCGGUGGCGAAGGCGGCCUGCUGGACUGCAACUGACGUUGAGGCCCGAAAGCGUGGGGAGCAAACAGGAUUAGAUACCCGGGUACC